This 460-nucleotide ribosomal RNA is filed under the name uncultured bacterium. RNAcentral describes it as "partial 16S ribosomal RNA". It matches the Rfam family "Bacterial small subunit ribosomal RNA", at positions 338 to 795 of the family's 1533-position model. The record is from RNAcentral.
CCUACGGGUGGCAGCAGUGAGGAAUAUUGGUCAAUGGGCGCGAGCCUGAACCAGCCAAGUAGCGUGAAGGAUGACUGCCCUACGGGUUGUAAACCUCUUUUAUAAAGGAAUAAAGUGAGGCACGUGUGCCUUUUUGUAUGUACUUUAUGAAUAAGGAUCGGCUAACUCCGUGCCAGCAGCCGCGGUAAUACGGAGGAUCCGAGCGUUAUCCGGAUUUAUUGGGUUUAAAGGGAGCGUAGAUGGGUUGGUAAGUCAGUUGGGAAAGUUUGGGGCUCAACCGUAAAAGUGCAAUUGAUACUGGCAGUCUUGAGUACAGGUGAGGUAGGCGGAAUUCGUGGUGUAGCGGUGAAAUGCUUAGAUAUCACGAAGAACUCCGAUUGCGAAGGCAGCUUACUAGACUGCCACUGACGUUGAGGCUCGAAAGUGUGGGUAUCAAAAAGGAUUAGAUACCCGGGUAGUC